GAUUAAGUGGCCGAGUAGAUAACGCGAUAGCGUUUGAAGCGAAAGGUUCUGGAUUCGAGUCCCAGAGUGAAC
Molecule: transfer RNA, 72 nt
Filed under: Schistosoma mansoni
Lineage: Eukaryota; Metazoa; Platyhelminthes; Trematoda; Strigeidida; Schistosomatidae
Source: RNAcentral